UACACUUCACACUCACAUAGAUAAUUUCUAACCGUGUUAUCGCGUAGAUACACUAUUUGGUCAAAUCUGCCAAACUUAGCAAAUCAUUAAAAACAUUAAGCUUUAUUAACUCUAUAACAAGCCUUAAUGAUGUAUCCUUGUUCCUGAGCAUUGUCUUCAUCAUGAGAAUGGAUUGAGUUGGUUGACAAUGAUGAACCGUCAGUCACAACUUUGUUUGUCUCCUUGAAUCUAGCUCUUGGGAUCUCCAGUCUGCUAGAUAGAGUUA
This 265-nucleotide long non-coding RNA is filed under the name Solanum tuberosum (potato). RNAcentral describes it as "long non-coding RNA (STUB_LNC004841)". The record is from RNAcentral. Lineage: Eukaryota; Viridiplantae; Streptophyta; Magnoliopsida; Solanales; Solanaceae.